Molecule: long non-coding RNA, 3024 nt
Filed under: Medicago truncatula (barrel medic)
Lineage: Eukaryota; Viridiplantae; Streptophyta; Magnoliopsida; Fabales; Fabaceae
Description: long non-coding RNA (MTRU_LNC006288)
Source: RNAcentral
UAUCGUAGUGGAAUGAAACAUCAUUACAUCAAAAUUCAAAUAAGUCAUCUCAAUAGACCUCCAAAAAAAAAAUACAUCUCCAAAUAGCCAUGUCAUAAUACUACACAUAUCAUCGCCAAUACAUAGUCUUAAAAAUAUCCAACAGACAUAAUAAAAACAAUCCUCAAGACCGACCCCUAAUCAGAGCUCUAAGUCUACGACACUGAAAGUAGUAAAACGAGGUAGCAUUCAAGAUAUCUUCAAGCAACUCACCAAAGUAAAGCAAAACAAAUUAUUCCUGCACACUGUCUACCCAUCCGUACAGAUAAGGAAGGCGGUGAACCGAACGACCACUAGGGGUUAGUCACAUCUCAUAAUUAAAGCAUAAUCAAACAUAAACAUUCAAGGAUUGCAUGCAUAGUACAUAUACAUACUCAACAUUCCUAGAAUACUACCAUCACAUAUAUAUUAUCCCCAGUUCGACAUUAAUCAGGUUAUCAUACUUCUAUCAUAGCAUAUCAAGCAUAUUCACCCUUUAAUCAAAUCAUCAACAAGGCACAUCACUUAACAACAUCAAUCAUUAUAAGAAUAUCUUACCUCAUUCCCUAUUCAAUUUAAUCAUCAAACUAUACCAACUUAUCAUUUAGGAGGUAUAAGCAUUCAUGCAACUUUAUUCAUUUUACAAAAAGCACAUAUUUUCCCUAAUGCAUACAAUUCAUCUAAUUCACAUAAAAUUCUGCCUAAUCAACUCAACAAAUACAAUUCAUCAUUUUAAAAUGUAGGCAAAGAAAUCAUCAUUAUCAAAGGAAUCACCAAAUCAUAUAUAUAUAUAUAUAUAUAUAUAUAUAUAUAUAUGUAUAAUUCUCACCUCAUUACUAUUAACAACAUAAUUAUCAUUAAAUAGAUUCACCAACUAAGCACAAGCAAGUAAGACAUACAAUUGGAGUCUUGAUUCAAUUAUUCACAACCAUCAACAAAAUCCACCAAUGCACAUAUACACCAAUUCACAUAAUCACAAUAUUCACAAAUGCACAGAUUCACCAAGUCACAUAUUCAAUUAUGACAUGACUCACCAAAUAAUAAAUGCAUGCAAUGUUCUAAACUCUUCUAGAUGCAUGUGGUACCAUUGGAUUCCGGAGAUAAUUUUACCCUUAAUGAAUCCACUAACAUAAUAAAUAUCACCAAUUAUGUUCUGUAGAAGCUAUGUAAUAAACACCACCAAUUACAUUCUUCAAAUCACCUCAAUAUGACUAUGAAUGCAAGGACUUCAAGUAAGGACUCGACAAUGCAUAACUCACCAACGUAAACAUUAACAUAAUAAUCACCACCAAUUAUGUUAUUCACCAACAGUUGCAUUAUCAAAUACUUACAUCCAUACAAACAACAAGUCAUCAUCAAUUCAUUUAUUUAUAAUCGCCCAAAAGAAUCAACACCAUAAUCAUCAUCUGACACCUCAAAUAAACGAUAAAGUUUCAAAUUCACAUUUAACAUAAAAACAGACAUUUAGACACAUCUUGACAUCUAUCGAAUUAAACACCAAAUUCUUAACAAUUCAUUCACCUUAAAUCUUACUAACAUGAAUUCAAAGUCUCAUACUAGUUAUCCGACCAUAAAACAUUAGUUUGAUAAAGUUCGUCUAAGUUUAUGAAAACAAACAUUUUUCGAUAAAUUCUCCAAAACCAAAGUAAAAAAAUCCAAACGCCUCAACCGAGUAUACACACUAAUCACAUAUGAGUGCAGUAGCAUAUACGUAUACGUUUCAUAGGCUAAUUCCGACAAAUACCAAAAUUCAUUUAAGUACGUAUCGUUUAUCAUUUUGCAAAACCAAUUCAUUUUUAAAACGAAACCAAGUUAGAUCUAUCAUUCCAUAGGUUAAAUACUCUUAAACAUCCUAAUUAAACUCCUAUUAAUCAAGUUUUAGGGUUUGGGACCAAACCAUAGCUUUUGGGUUCACUUAGAAAUAGUUAUGUUGAAUUUUCGUAAAAUUGCACAAAGACCUACUUGGAGUAUUUUCAUCAUAACUCAAAAUCUAAAAAUAAUUUUUAAGUCAAACCAAAUCCAUUAGAAAUAUAACAUCUUUAUAUAAAACUUUCAUGUUUACAGAAAAAGCCAGUUCAAAACAGAAAAGGGUGAAAACGGCUCCAAAAACGUAAAAAGUGGAGUUGGCUGAAGUUUCACACACGGUCGUGUCUUUUAAAACCUUCAUGUUUUCGCACUUAGAAUUCAAAUCGUUAAUCCGUUUUCAAUUCCGUUUUCGCCUACGUGCUCCUUACACUUAGCUCUAUCAUAUUUAAAAUAAAAUUAAUGUUUAUCCCAUCCCAAAAUAGCUUACUAAAAAUCACAUAUAACCAAUUGUUUUCCAAAAUCAAUUAAGCUAACUUUUCAAACAAAAACCCAAGUUUCUUCCCAAAAACUUUCACAAACAAAACCUAAAACCAAAAUAAGAAGUUCAUCUAACCUAUCUCGAUACAAAAACAUAUAAUUCACCUCAAAUCAUCAAGAAUCAUAAUUCACCCUUAAUGAUCCAUUUUCUUCAAAACUCAUUAAAUCAACAACAACUUAACCAUAACUUCACAAUUAGCAAUACCCAAGGUAUAAAUUGUCAUCAACAACACAACAUAACAUCAAUCAAAGCAUAAUCUCAUAAUUUCAUCAACAAUCAACAACAACUUCAUUUUUACCUAUUUAAGCAAAAAUCAUCAAAACAACUUAUCAACAACAACAACCAUGAAUUUUAAGCACAUAAUACAUCAAUUUUAUGAAGUUUAUCAUACCCUUAAAUUCACAUAAAUUAAGAGCACGAAUUUCAUCAUUUAAAAACAUAAAAAGUCACAAUUAUUACAAAAGCACUUAAACCCAUAAGUGAAAAUACUAGAUUAUGACUUAAUUAUGAAAGAGCACUACCCCCCUUACCUCUAAUCUACAAGAAUCCAAUUCCUAGCUUCAAUUAAGCUUCUAGCCACCAAUCCCAAGCUUUCUCUCUCUGGCUCUUCUUUUCUCCUCUAGAUCCCCUUUUUAUCUCUCAAAAUGUUUUGUAAAAGUGAG